AUUCCUAGUGAUUAGAGUUUGAUCAUGGCUCAGGGCGAACGCUGGCGGCGUGGUAUAAGGCAUGCAAAUCGAGCGCAGGCUCAUCUGCGGGUUUUUGCUCGCAGGUGGGUGCUGAGCGGCGAACGGGCGAGUAACGCGUGCCUAACCCACCCUGAGGACGGGGAUAACCCUGGGAAACUGGGACUAAUACCAGAUACGCUCCCUCGUCGCAUGGCGGGGGAGGAAAGGUGCUCGUUCCGAAAGGGCGGGUGCCACCUCAGGAUGGGGGCGCGUCCCAUCAGGUAGUUGGUGGGGUAACGGCCCACCAAGCCUAUGACGGGUAGCCGGCCUGAGAGGGUGGCCGGCCGCACCGGGACUGAGACACGGCCCGGACCCCUACGGGGGGCAGCAGCCGAGGAUCUUGGGCAAUGCCCGAAAGGGUGACCCAGUGACGCCGCGUGGGGGAGGAAGCCCUUCGGGGUGUAAACCCCUGUUGGCGAGGGAAGAACCGUCCCCUCGGGGACGGUUGACGGUACCUCGCGAGAAAGCCCCGGCUAACUCCGUGCCACAGCCGCGGCAAAACGGAAGGGGGCGAGCGUUGCCCCGGAUUUACUGGGCUUAAAAGGGUCCGUAAGCNGGUUACUAAUUCCUCCGUGAAAACUUGCCCGCUCAACGGGUAAAGGGUCGUAAGGAUCUUGGGUAACUU
RNAcentral lists this ribosomal RNA (685 nucleotides) under uncultured bacterium. RNAcentral's name for it is "bacterial SSU rRNA". It matches the Rfam family "Bacterial small subunit ribosomal RNA", at positions 1 to 642 of the family's 1533-position model. The record is from RNAcentral.